UCAGCCGCCGCGGUAAAACCAGCACCUCGAGUGGUCAGGAGGUUUAUUGGGCCUAAAGCAUCCGUAGCCGGUUGUUUAAGUUUUCGGUUAAAUCUAUGCGCUUAACGUAUAGGCUGCCGAAAAUACUGGACAGCUAGGGAGUGGGAGAGGUACACGGUACUCAAUAGGAAGGGGUAAAAUCCUUUGAUCUGCUGAUGACCACCUGCGGCGAAGGCGGUGUACCAGAACACGUUCGACGGUGAGGGAUGAAAGCUGGGGGAGCAAACCGGAUUAGGUACCCGGGUAGUCCCAGCUGUAAACGAUGCAGACUCGGUGAUGCAUUGGCUUGUGGCCAAUGCAGUGCCGCAGGGAAGCCGUUAAGUUUGCCGCCUGGGAAGUACGUACGCAAGUAUGAAACUUAAAGGAAUUGGCGGGGGAGCACA
RNAcentral lists this ribosomal RNA (422 nucleotides) under uncultured archaeon. RNAcentral describes it as "bacterial SSU rRNA". It matches the Rfam family "Archaeal small subunit ribosomal RNA", at positions 458 to 880 of the family's 1478-position model. The record is from RNAcentral.